Molecule: ribosomal RNA, 114 nt
Organism: Rhinopithecus bieti (black snub-nosed monkey)
Lineage: Eukaryota; Metazoa; Chordata; Mammalia; Primates; Cercopithecidae
Source: Ensembl
AUUUCAGGCCAUACCACCCUGAAUGCGCCCAAUCUCGUCUGAUCUCAGCAGCUAAGCAGGGUCAGGCCUGGUUAGUACUUGGAGGGGAGUUUGGGAAGUUAACAGUUUGAUGCU